AUUUAAAUAGCCGCAGUAUUUUGACUGUGCGAAGGUAGCAUAAUCAUUUGUCUUUUAAUUGAAGGCUUGUAUGAAUGGCUGGAUGAGGGAGUAACUUUCUUUACAUUAAUUGGUUGAAUUUAAUUUUUAAGUUAAAAAGCUUAAAUUUUUAAGUGGGACGAGAAGACCCUAUAGAAUUUUAUUUUUAUGUUAUUCUUAAUUAUUUUAGUGAUUAGAUAAUAAGUUUAAUUAUAAAUUUUGUUGGGGUGACAGUGAGAUUUGUUUAACUCUCAUAUAUUAUAUUUUAUUUAUGAUUAUUUUAAAGAUCCUAUUUUACGGAUAAUUAGAUCAAAUUACCUUAGGGAUAACAGCGUUAUUCUUCUUGAGAGUUCAUAUCGAUGGAGGGGUUUGCGACCUCGAUGUUGGAUUAAAAUUAGACUUAAGU
Molecule: ribosomal RNA, 424 nt
Filed under: Carpocoris purpureipennis
Lineage: Eukaryota; Metazoa; Arthropoda; Insecta; Hemiptera; Pentatomidae
Description: partial large subunit ribosomal RNA
Rfam family: Bacterial large subunit ribosomal RNA
Source: RNAcentral